Molecule: long non-coding RNA, 7019 nt
Organism: Pipra filicauda (Wire-tailed manakin)
Lineage: Eukaryota; Metazoa; Chordata; Aves; Passeriformes; Pipridae
Exons: 8
Source: RefSeq, a predicted model, not a curated record
CCUGUACUGAGAGGGAGAAGGUGGAGGAGCCUGUGUGCAUACCCUGCUUCCCCUGCUGUUACACAGAUUCUAAACACAGGUUUGGUUAUUCCUACUAUAUGUUUAUUUUUCCUCUCUGCUUUCUUCCUUUGAAGUACCUGCUUGUGUUCUCAAUGAAGAACAGCUGAGAGAUCAGGAAAAUGGCUUAAGCAUUCAGUGGGCUGGAAGCUGUUUGGAUUUCAAACAGUGCCUGGGAGAGCUCUGCACAGUGCCUUGCUGCACAACCCUCCUUCUGUCACCGGCCGAGGUUGCCGUCCUUUGUUCCCUCCCUGUAACUCUCCAGAGCCUUCAAGGGAGGGAAAAGAAGGAUGAAGGAGGUGACUUUAAUUUCUCUUUUUUAAAUCCCCCCAAGUCCUCCUUUAAAAAGCCACAGCACAGCCCUUAUGGGCCAUCUGCCUUUAUUUCUCUCGUGCUCCUUGGCUUUGUUUGUUCCUCGUUUCCCCUCUGUGCCCCUUUGCAAACCUCGGAUCCUCGGGAGCCAUGAGCAGGACCCAAGUGCCACCCGAAGCUGCAGCUCCCCCUCUACAAUCUGCCAAGGAGGAACUGCCCACAGGACACUCCAGCACAGCCUCUGGAGUUUCUAAAGCCAUUUUUGUUCAGCAAUUCCUGUUGUUGUUGUUCCUGCUGACCUCAGCGGGCUGUAUCUUUUCCAAAUGUUUCUGACGUUUCUCACAGGGUAAUAAUCUAUUAAUGUCACAGACAAGGAUUCUGCUGACUUCAGUUUGGCUUCUGUUUCCCAUUGGAUGGGCUCCUCUCUUUAUGGGGGAAUGCCUCCAGCCAAAAAGAGAGGAAAAAAAACCCCAGCCCUGAGCUAAGUGAAACCAGGCCCGAAGGGAAGCGCGUUGCAGCCGCGUUGCCUCUCGCUGGCUUCUGUUCUGUGCUUGGGGAUGUGCCAGACUCCAGUGCCUCCAUGCUUUUGAUUCCUGUUUAUCCCCGGCAACAUGAUUGUCUAUAAUUAUAUAUAAUCUCCCCCUUGUUUACUCUUCUUCCUCCAGGUCUGAGCACAAGCUCGAUGGCAACUCUCAGCUCCGUCUGCCGGGGCUGCAGCUCCAACGCUCCUCACCAUCCUCCACCUUCUCCUCCAAAGUAACAAAGCCAUUGGAUUUCCUCCCACCCCUUCCCCGCGCUCCCCCUCCCCCUCGCUGGCACCGGGGUUAUUUAUACAGAAUGUGGAAACAAUUUGCAGGAAAGUGAACAAUGUAAGCGGGAGUGAGGGAAGGGAGACAAGUUUGUUGUGCACACUGAGAGCCCCAGUGGUGAAACGCUGCUUUUUGGGGGGCUGAGAGAACAGACUGUUUUCCUUUCUUCCUUCUCCUCUCUUUCACCAUCUCCCUCAGCUCUUUCCAUCUUGCCAGAGUCGGGUCCAAACCAGAGCAACCAGAUCUGAGUGCGUGUUUUGGAGGAGGUUCAGGUUGGAUCCCUCCCUGCAUCCCAGCCCCGUGAGGCGGUGUCUGUGUACUUAAUCCUCUCCGAGGUUCUGCUCUCCAUCGUUGCUGCUCCUGGAUUAGCAUUAAUGAGGAGCAUGUGUGCUCAGAGGUCCCGCUCCAGGCCCCCAGAGCUGCAGCACUGGGUUUAGACACAGCUACUCCGAGGAACAGUUCAGCUGAAACAGAACCAUUCCUGGGAGUGAACGAGGCAGGAACUUUUUGCAAAGUCUAAUUUCAGUCUUUCUCCCCUCACCCACUGAGUAUUAAGUUUUCAGGACAUCCCAGCACCUCGCUGGCUCCACUGUGAGUGUCUGGGAAUCAGGAAGUUUACCUGAGUUCUGCUGGGGCUGAGGAAGCUGAACCAGCACUGACUCGGCACUCAGAGCAGAUCUGGGAUCUUCAGCUGGCACUCUGCACCAUGAAGUCCUCAAAAAGAGGGUCUUUAGAUGAGAACAGAUUUGUAUUCCUCUCUUCCUGCUGCUCACUUACCACCUGAAAUCCUCGGCUGCUCCUUGCAGUUCCCACCACAACGGCGAGCGAUAUCCCGAGCGGAGCGUUGGAGCUCCAGGGAGACUCUGCAGACCCUGUGGAGUGCAGGAGUCACGGAGAACAGAGACCGAUGAAAGAUGGCUCCAGGCUGGGAUUUUGGAGAGUGUCUACAUGGUGUUGUUUUCUUUCACUGCUCCAUUUCUAAAGAUAACUGCUCUGUGUUUGGAGAAGCUGUUCUGUCUUUCCAACCCCUUGACAGCAUGGGCUGCUGAACAAGAACAUAGUGAAGGAAAGCAGCUGAUGAAAGAAAAGCUGUUCCUGUGGCUUCAGAAAAAUUGCUGCUUGUCUUCCCUCCCCCACAACGCUGAAUCCCAGCACCCCAGACUGUCGUGACUGCCGGGGAUUGGUGACAUCUCGAGUGACACGUGUUGGAGCAUCAGAACAGAGUGGGAGCAGCACAGCUUGGCUCCGGGAGCCAAAAAUAGGCAGCGCUUCCCAGAAUGUCCUGGCAGCCUGAGAAGUGGUGGACACCGCAAUGACACCCCAGAGGAGCAGCUGAGUGCUACUGAUUGCUGGAGUCCCCAGAUGCAGGUGACCAGCCCCCUGACCAGCUGGUGGGUACCAGAGCUGGAGAGGGAUGACUGUGUUCCAUAGCCCUUGGGAAGGGUGCCUUGGCCUCCUGUCAGUGAGUGCAGGGUGUUUGGGCUGUGUGUGUGUGUGUGGGAAUGAGGAGCAACUGCCACGUGCCAAGAACGAGGGGAGCGAAGGAUUCCCACCAUAUGAUCCCACAGUGAACUUUUGAUCCAUCAGCUCAUCUGAUCCACCUGAUCCAUCAGCUGGGCCUUUCAGGUAACACACAGAAAAGGGCUGUGCUGCUGUUGGUUCUGAGGUUUGUCUGUAAGGUGUGCUGGGCUCUGCAUUUUCCAGGCAUCCUCUGCUGCUGGUCUAAGGUUGUUUCUUUGGUUUUCCAAACCCAGAGGCAAAUGACUGUUUCUUUGUGCUAAGCAUCAAUUCUCUUCUUUUUUUUUAUCCUUUCUCCUCUCCAUGGUUUUCCUCUCCAUUUUGAAUUCUCUCAGACUGCUGCAGUCUCACUUCCCUGAGACUUACUUCCUGGCACAGACACCAGGAGAAAAUGUGAUGGUGUUUACAGAGCACUGGGACUUGGGAGAUGUGAAAUGUGGACCUGCUGCUCUACCUCUGGUGACUCACAACACCUCUCUGUGGUUCUGCUUUCCUGUCAGGAUAACCUGGACUAAAACCUCUCUAGGGAAAGGAUUUGCUUUCCCUGUGUGAUCCUACGGUGUCUAAUACAACAGGACCCAACCUCAGGUAAGACCUUUAGGCACUCCCAUUAUAUGAAUGAGAACAAGAUUAUUGGUGUCAGUAAUUAACAUUCUUGUGGGAUUGUUGGAAAUGCUUUGGGAUAAACACCACCUGGAAUCCUCGCCUGGCUUAUGUGGUUUCUGAGCUGCAGAGGAGGCUGAUCCUGUUUGCACGAGAGGCCAUGGACCAUCUGUCUCCUCUCACUGGAUGUGCAAAGUCUUUCAGGCCAAAGAUGAGAUGCAGUAGCUCAGGGAGACAUUGGGACACUUGAAAAGUGAGGGCACAUUCUGUGGGGAAGAAGAAUGGAGACUCAGCGGUCAGUGUGUCCCCAGUAAUGAUCUCACCUGAGAACAACACUAAUGGCAACCAGCAAACCAGAAAAAUACCACCCACAGUGUCACUGAAAACACUGUGAACGCCUGUGGCACAGUGUCACCCCAGGACAGGCUUCCAGAGAGGAAUCUCUCCCUGCUUACCUGGAUGGCAAAAAUCCCAUUGACUGCAAUGACAUCAGGAUUUCCCCUUGAGUGUUACCUGGGUUUCUCUCCUUCUGGAGAGAAGAGCCAUAUCCCACAUCAUUAUGCACAUCCUAAUACCAAAUAGAUAAUUCUUUUCCUUUAAACUGUGGAUUGGAUUCCAGUAAACCCUGCAUUUUGGAUUCUAGGUUCCCUCUAUCUAGCUCUGCAAUCCCUAAAUAAACAAACAUUGGAUUAGACCUCAGCAGCUCCCUCCCUCAGACACAGAAGGCUUUAAAAGCAUUUCACACCAACUGCCCUGCUCGUGUUUCAGACUCCGUUAACCACGGAUUCAGGGAGCUCCAUCUCCCAAACUUCCCAGGGAGCUCACCUCAGUGAUUGGAAGGUCUGCCUCCACCUGUGACCCUCUCUGACUCCAGCGAGGAGCUGGAAUUGCUGUUGACAUCAGGAAUGACAGAGGUACGUGCUGGGGUUGGAGGGUUUCUGGCACAAGGCCUGCUAACCCAGAAUUUGCUCGGCAAAGUCCGGAGGGUGACUUUUAACCUCAGAGCAGUUUGCAAAACCACACCUGUGACCAAUAAAUGUGAAAAAUAAAUGAAAAAAAAUAAAUCCAGCCCCUACUGAAUGAUGAAAGCCAGCACACCUCGCUGGGCUCUGGUGCUGGAGUCAGUGUGGAGAUCUAUACAGGAAUAAUUGAACAGGUCAUCGUUGCCAGGAGUUGUCCGUGGACGGAGCUGAUGCCUCACACAUGGGGGAGGCAGCACAGCAGGUUAAACUGAAGGGAUCUCAUAGUUCUAAGUCUUAAACUUAAUGAAGCACAUCUUUAUUUGUGCUGCAGCCCCUUCUUCUCCCCAAAUUGCCUUAACUAGCUGCUAGAGGAUGCCCAGUAAUGGAAAAUUCUCUGGAUAACAAUAAAUUGGUGUAACGACUCAGUGUCACCUCACAUCCUGCUAAGCAAUAGAGAAAUCACGGUGAGAAAAACAGGCACAGCCAGAGUGGCACUGAACAGUGGAAUCCUAAUUCCAUCACCCUUCUUGUGGGCCACAGAUAACCCAGUGCAAUUUACAGCCGCUCUGAAGCGGCUCCAAGUCUCAGCAGGAGUCGGGAAGGCUCAGUGUAGCCUCGGGACUGAGGAGUCACGGAAGAUCAGGGGAGUUGUUGUUCCAUAACCUUGCCUCUGCACCAAAACCGGUGGGCUGGUCUGGAAUGGGAAGCACUCCAAGCAAAACACGACGUUUUAAUCACUGAAAUGAAGGUCCUCCUCUGGAUUUCUCUCUGGAGAACUGUCUGUCUCUGAUGAUCACGCACAGACUGCCAAAGAAGGUUCCCGGCCUCGCUCGUUCUACAGAAUAGACUGUGCUCACCAAGCAAUAACUUUAUUUUCUCCUCGCUGUUCACUGUGUGGCCUGUGCUUUAUUUACAGCACACUAUUCAAAUAUUGUUCUGAAGACAGAUUUAUUCAUUUCCUCCUGAGCUUUUUCACGGGACUCAUCACUAUGGUAUCCAAGUGCUUCACAAACUCUAAUUCACUUUCCCAACGCUGGAGUGAGAACUGGUGUUGUCCUUAUUUUACAGACGAGGAACUCGGGCGCACAGACAGAAUAAUACAAAAAUCUCUUUUCAUUUUAGAGAUCUAAUUAGAAAUACUCGAUGGCCUGAUUUUGUCAGAAAAUAGAACAUGGUGAAGCAUCCAGUUGAGUCAGAACUUGAAUACAUUCUCAGCUAUUGCAGAUUUAUCUGCAAGUGCUCUUCACUUCUGCAGAUCACGCUUUAAAAUGUCAGCCCAGGCACCUGGGCAGUGCUGACUGCACAACUAGUACAGUUCUGGGCAGGCUCUCUUUAAGGACUGAGGCCCUUUUCUGGAGCAGCAGUCACCCCUUCCCACCCACAGUGCUGUGCUUGCUCACUCCACAGUUCCUCUCAGGGUGCAUAACAUACCUACAUCUGAUUUUUACAGCAAAUUAAGUGGAAGUUGUUGAGGCACUUGCCUGGGUUCCCUGGCCUUGGUUCAGUAUCUGAGCCAGGCUUAUCCUUCUGCACUGGCUGCCUUUAUCCCGGUGUUUGAUAACUGGGGAGUGUGUUCCUUUGCAGCCUGACUACCGUUGUUUUAAUAAAUAUGUAUGUCUUUUCAAUCUAGAGAUACCCUUAGAAAGCCCAGCAAUUUAAUCCUGUGCUGACAGGGAUGCAGGCCAUCAGCAAUGUGGAAACACUCCCUGUAUGAGGGAUGUAGUGGUUGGCACACGCUCCAGCACUCAGAGGGGACGAGGAACGUUCUCAGUGUGUGUCAGACACCUGCUGCCAACAGUUUUCCAGUUGCUCUUCAUUCCCAUUCCUAAAUUCUCACCUUUCUGCUCUGCCUCCCUCCCUCAGUCUGUCACUCCCAUUCCUACAUCACUGCCCCUAGUGAAUUCCCUCUUCCCGUUGUCCCUGCUGCGUCCCACACGCAAACUAGGGGUCCUCCUCCCUCAUCCCACUGCAGCUCUCCCAUCCAAUCCCUGUGCCCAGCAAGUUCUUCCUCAGACACUGUAUGGACAGCUCUGGGUGCCCCUAAGCUGCGUGUUCCUCCUCCCGGAAAUUCUCUCCCAUUCCCACUCUGUUUUUAAUUCUUCUCCCAACAGCCUGGCUUCCAGACUCUUCCUUAUGAGCUUUGCUUUAUCCCUCCCUCCAGGCAGACCUGUUUUUCCUUCCAGCUCCUUGUUCCCUUCCACUGCCCUGGAGAACCUGUGUCUCUCCAGACCCUCCAUGCCUGCCAACUUACCUGUCCCAAAUCCAGUUCCCGUCCCCACUGUGUGUUACUGAAGGAGCUUCCUGCUCCAUGUUUCCCCAGAGGACUGGAAGGACAAGUUCCCUGCUCGCCCUUCCUACCUGCAGCCUUGGCAUGGUCCAGAGCAGCAGGGAACUGGAAGUGCAGGUCCAGCUCUGACUCCCACAGCCCUGGGCUGAGAUGAGGAUGGAACUGCAGGGCAACGGAAGCACUGGGAAGCCUCCACAGAGCACCAGUGGGAUUUUCAGGGGGGUUUUCACUGUGGGGCUUGAAGGAACACCUCUGACAAGGUGACUGUUCUCGUCUACAAAUUCGACAAUCCCUGACAGAAAGAACAAAAGGGGAAAAGUUUAUAAUUUAACCUGAGGUACGAACAUCAGAUGCUUAAAUUUCAGCACAGCAGUUGCUCUGGCCCUAUUAAAUGCGACUGAGGGUAGGAUUUUAUGAUGGGAAUUCCUAACCAGCUUAAUAGAAGUUACACUACCAGUCCUGCCUUUUAAU